CCUACGGGCGGCAGCAGUGGGGAAUAUUGGACAAUGGGCGAAAGCCUGAUCCAGCCAUGCCGCGUGUGUGAAGAAGGCCUUCGGGUUGUAAAGCACUUUCAGUGGGGAAGAAAGCCUUGGGGCUAAUACCCUCGAGGAAGGACAUCACCCACAGAAGAAGCACCGGCUAACUCCGUGCCAGCAGCCGCGGUAAUACGGAGGGUGCGAGCGUUAAUCGGAAUUGCUGGGCGUAAAGCGCGCGUAGGCGGUCUGAUAAGCCGGUUGUGAAAGCCCCGGGCUCAACCUGGGAACGGCAUCCGGAACUGUCAGGCUAGAGUGCAGGAGAGGAAGGUAGAAUUCCCGGUGUAGCGGUGAAAUGCGUAGAGAUCGGGAGGAAUACCAGUGGCGAAGGCGGCCUUCUGGACUGACACUGACGCUGAGGUGCGAAAGCGUGGGUAGCAAACAGGAUUAGAUACCCCAGUAGUC
RNAcentral lists this ribosomal RNA (465 nucleotides) under Vreelandella stevensii. Its description in RNAcentral is "partial 16S ribosomal RNA". It matches the Rfam family "Bacterial small subunit ribosomal RNA", at positions 338 to 795 of the family's 1533-position model. Lineage: Bacteria; Pseudomonadati; Pseudomonadota; Gammaproteobacteria; Oceanospirillales; Halomonadaceae. The record is from RNAcentral.